RNA transcript from Lathyrus oleraceus (garden pea), 2836 nucleotides. It is a transcript of the gene named transcription termination factor MTERF2, chloroplastic, with no coding region annotated. The record is from RefSeq and is a predicted model, not a curated record. The transcript is spliced from 7 exons. Lineage: Eukaryota; Viridiplantae; Streptophyta; Magnoliopsida; Fabales; Fabaceae.
UCUUCGUAAACGUAACCAGAACUGUGGCAUCUGUUAACUCUUAUCCAUUGUUAAUUCCUAUCACCAUUUUCACUUCAAGAAAAUGCUUCUUUCAUGUCAAAACCACACUCUUUACCUUCCUUCUUCUUCCAUCCAUUCCGUCAAGAAUUCGAAAUCCAACAUUAUCAUCAAUUGCCAAACCCCAAACGAACAAAACCAACCCAUUCCCAGAAGACACAAUUCAAAAUCCACUUCAUUUCUCAUCCACCACCUUUCACACAAAAACAGCGACAAUCAUCACUCUUCACCCACUGAGCUACAAGACCCAAUACCGCAUGAAGAAAAAGUGAAGCUUUUAGAACUUUCCUUAGUGAGGAAAAGAACCCCACAAUUUCCUGGUUCAAUUUAUGCUCAAUCCCCUAGUGACUCUGAUGUGGGUUCUUCUCUUCCUCCUCUUCGUACGCUUUUUAGAUCGCGUGAUGAAGAAGAAGAGGUCUUAAUCAUGAAAGCUCUUGAAAUUCGUAGGAAGGUUACGGAAGAGGUUUUCAAAGAACAAAUGAGAAAGGGUAAAUUUGGAAUUACUUAUACAGACAAUUUGGUUUCUAAGUUGGGUGGUUUUGUUGAUUAUGUUAUGAUUGAAGCUGCUAACUUGAAAAGAUUGCCUCAAUAUUCUCACUCUACUUUCAAUUUACGCGCCAAAACUGUUAUUGAAGAUUCCCAAGUUGUACAACUUAUUAGAUGGUUGAAACAUAAUUCUCUAUCGUAUCCUCAGAUAGCUAAGCUCGUUUUGAUGUCAAGGGGGAAACUUGAGUCCAUUAGGAACCGUAUUGAGUGGUUGAAGUCGGUGCAUGUUAAGGGAGACUUUAUUGGGGAUGCAAUGUUGAAGGGUGGAGAUAAUGUUUUGCUGCGGAGUGAUCGGGAGCUUGAUGAGAUUGUUGAGUGUUUAGAAUCCAAUGGUGUAAGGAGGGAAUGGAUGGGUUAUGUUGUGAGUCGGUGUCCGAAGUUGUUAUCUUACAGCUUGGAAGAAGUGAAGAUUCGUGUGCAGUUCUAUCUGGAUAUGGGUUUAGAUGAGAAGGAUUUUGGCACAAUGGUUUUCGAUUUUCCUAAAGCACUUGGUUACUAUACAAUUGAAGAAAUGAACCGAAAGGUUGAUUACUUGAAAGAAUUCGGGCUUGAUAAUAAGGAUGUCGGUAAGUUGCUUGCAUUUAGGCCACAGUUGAUGGCGUGCAGCAUUGAAGAACGAUGGAAACCUCUUGUUAAGUAUCUGUACUAUUAUGGGAUUACUCGAGAUGGGAUGAAGAGAAUGCUUAUCAUUAAACCAAUGGUCUUUUGUUUUGACUUGGAGAUAACUAUUGUGCCAAAGGUAAAGUUUUUUCAGGACCUAGGGGUUCGAAACGACGGGAUUGCUAACAUGCUUGUAAAAUUUCCUACUCUACUCACUUACAGCCUUUACAAAAAGAUUAGGCCUGUGGUCAUAUUCUUGAUGACCAAGGCUGGAGUCACUGAAGAAUCUAUUGGAAAGGUUGUAGCUCUUGGACCUGAGCUCUUGGGAUGCAGCAUAGUACAUAAGCUCGAAGUAAAUGUAAAAUAUUAUUUGUCUCUUGGCAUUCGUCUUCGGCAACUGGGUGAAAUGGUCGCUGAUUUCCAAAUGCUGCUGAGAUACAAUAUAGAUGUUCUUCGUCCUAAGUAUACGUAUUUGCGGAAAACCAUGGUCCGAACUUUGCAAGAUCUAAUUGAAUUUCCGAGGUUUUUCAGCUAUUCUCUCGAGGGUCGAAUAAUCCCAAGACACAAGGUUCUGGUGGAGAAUCAGAUAAAUGUCAAACUAAAAUGCAUGUUAGCUUGUACUGAUGAAGAGUUUAACAAAAUGGUCAACAAUAUGAUUCGAAAACGCCACAAGUUCCAAUCUACUGUCAUGAAGGGGGAUACUCCGCAUUCCCAAUCUCUUGUUACUGGGGAUAUUACUGCACCCCAGACUUAAGCAAAACUGAUGGCUCUGUGGGAAACAAAAGUGAUUAAGUUUCGAGAAGUAAAGCAAUGUAGUAGCUUUGUCUUAUUAACUUCAUCGGUCAGACUAGUAAUUAUCAUAAAAUCGUGAUUAUUUUUCUCAAACACGGGGUGCUAAAUGACUAUGUAACAGCUGGUAUAGUGCUGGAGAAACAUCGGAGUAAAGGAGCGCUCUGUCAUGGUUAAAAAAAAAAGCUUGCAAUUUGUCAUCCACUGCAACACUUGUGAAAAUAGAAUUGCUGCAGAAUGUGCCAAUGAAACAUGCCACUGUGAAGUGUGCCAAUGAACAGAAUUGUGGAGAACCCCUGUGUACUUCUUGCAAUGUCAGAGAUGUUUAAGGAACAUAGGAACUUUGACUGACAAAUAAUUGUGAUUAACAUUCUUGGCUCGAGUUCUAUAUACUGGUUGAACAUCAAACUCAACCUAUCUCCAGAAAGAUCAACACUCAAAUUUAUAUAUGAAACUCUUUUAAAUAUAUCUUGCUCAGGAUAUCUGUGAACAGCAGUAUUGCUACUCUGAGUACACAAAGUUCAUCGAUCCGCUGCUUUUUAUAAGGUGAACAAUGUUCUAUGCUAGUGAAAUUAUAUUUGCGGAAGACUAUGGUCGCGCCAUUCCAAGAAACCUUCAUUCUCAAAGCAUCAUAAACCUUUGUUGACUUAAGAUAGUUUGUUAAGAUAUGUUACAGAUUAAUCAUUUAAUCAUUUUAAUCUAUAAAUAACAUGGCUAUCUAGGAUUAUGUUUUUUCAAUCAGUUCUGGAUUAUUCCAGUGUGUAAUAUUUUUAUGAGGCAAGUCGCAUUAGUAAAAGGAUUAUUCUUCUGUGACAUUUUGUAUUCAUCCUCUAGUUCAAUGGCU